AUUGAACGCUGGCGGAAUGCUUUACACAUGCAAGUCGAACGGCAGCACGGGAGCUUGCUCCUGGUGGCGAGUGGCGAACGGGUGAGUAAUGCGUCGGAACGUGCCGAGUAAUGGGGGGAUAACGCAGCGAAAGUUGUGCUAAUACCGCAUACGCCCUGAGGGGGAAAGUGGGGGAUCGCAAGACCUCACGUUAUUCGAGCGGCCGACGUCUGAUUAGCUAGUUGGUGGGGUAAAGGCCUACCAAGGCGACGAUCAGUAGCGGGUCUGAGAGGAUGAUCCGCCACACUGGGACUGAGACACGGCCCAGACUCCUACGGGAGGCAGCAGUGGGGAAUUUUGGACAAUGGGCGCAAGCCUGAUCCAGCCAUGCCGCGUGAGUGAAGAAGGCCUCGG
This 393-nucleotide ribosomal RNA is filed under the name uncultured bacterium. RNAcentral's name for it is "bacterial SSU rRNA". It matches the Rfam family "Bacterial small subunit ribosomal RNA", at positions 29 to 420 of the family's 1533-position model. The record is from RNAcentral.